This is a long non-coding RNA of Oncorhynchus masou masou (cherry salmon), 569 nucleotides long. RefSeq lists it as uncharacterized. NCBI's taxonomy places the organism in Eukaryota, Metazoa, Chordata, Actinopteri, Salmoniformes, Salmonidae. The transcript has 3 exons. The record is from RefSeq and is a predicted model, not a curated record.
UAUUGGCAUCAGGAGACAGAAAGCAAUAUAUUUUGAAAUCCUGAAGAUGACAUGCAACAUUUUUGACACUGUACCAAAAGUGGACUAAUAUUAAACAUACUAAUUGUGGAGGACAUGGUCGUUCUAUUGUUAUACAUAUGACGUGUAAAUCCAGAGUCCAUAGUUAUUUUCUGAAUCUUUACGAGAAGAUUUUACUAUCUUUAGCUCUCUUUGACCCCUCACUAAACAGGUUACAAAUUGCAAAAUUAAUUUAGCUAUUUUCAUUCCACCUUACAGAGGAAGCCCCAGUCCUGCGAACAUCAACUUUCCAGACAAUAAGAAGAGGUACCUAUCACUGUCUGAGGGAGGGGAUCCUGAUGAUGUGAACCCUUCCACCAACACAAACAUUUUAUCGAACGGAGGGCCUCCUGAGGAGGAUAUGGAUGCUAAUUCAACCAGUAAGGGGAUUGAGAUCCCGCAGAGAGGAAGCCCCAGUCCUGCGAACAUCAACUUUCCAGACAAGUCAGUGGAACUCCAAAAUCAAGUUGAAAACAAAUUACGUGAUACAUUUUACCUUCUACAAACAGAAG